AGAGUUUGAUCCUGGCUCAGGAUGAACGCUGGCGGCGUGCCUAACACAUGCAAGUCGAGCGAUUUACUUCGGUAAAGAGCGGCGGACGGGUGAGUAACGCGUGGGUAACCUGCCUCAUACACAUGGAUAACAUACCGAAAGGUAUGCUAAUACAAGAUAAUAUAAGAGAUUUGCAUGGAUUUCUUAUCAAAGCUCCGGCGGUAUGAGAUGGACCCGCGUCUGAUUAGCUAGUUGGUAAGGUAACGGCUUACCAAGGCGACGAUCAGUAGCCGACCUGAGAGGGUGAUCGGCCACAUUGGAACUGAGACACGGUCCAAACUCCUACGGGAGGCAGCAGUGGGGAAUAUUGCACAAUGGGCGAAAGCCUGAUGCAGCAACGCCGCGUGAGCGAUGAAGGCCUUCGGGUCGUAAAGCUCUGUCCUCAAGGAAGAUAAUGACGGUACUUGAGGAGGAAGCCCCGGCUAACUACGUGCCAGCAGCCGCGGUAAUACGUAGGGGGCUAGCGUUAUCCGGAUUUACUGGGCGUAAAGGGUGCGUAGGUGGUUUCUUAAGUCAGGAGUGAAAGGCUACGGCUCAACCGUAGUAAGCUCUUGAAACUGGGAAACUUGAGUGCAGGAGAGGAAAGUGGAAUUCCUAGUGUAGCGGUGAAAUGCGUAGAUAUUAGGAGGAACACCAGUAGCGAAGGCGGCUUUCUGGACUGUAACUGACACUGAGGCACGAAAGCGUGGGGAGCAAACAGGAUUAGAUACCCUGGUAGUCCACGCCGUGAACGAUGAGUACUAUGUGUCGGGGGUUACCCCCCUCGGUGCCGCAGCUAACGCAUUAAGUACUCCGCCUGGGGAGUACGCUCGCAAGAGUGAAACUCAAAGGAAUUGACGG
This 879-nucleotide ribosomal RNA is filed under the name uncultured bacterium. RNAcentral's name for it is "bacterial SSU rRNA". It matches the Rfam family "Bacterial small subunit ribosomal RNA", at positions 8 to 916 of the family's 1533-position model. The record is from RNAcentral.